Molecule: ribosomal RNA, 293 nt
Filed under: uncultured bacterium
Lineage: Bacteria
Description: partial 16S ribosomal RNA
Rfam family: Bacterial small subunit ribosomal RNA
Source: RNAcentral
AUUAGAUACCCUGGUAGUCCACGCCGUAAACGAUGUCGACUUGGAGGUUGUGCCCUUGAGGCGUGGCUUCCGGAGCUAACGCGUUAAGUCGACCGCCUGGGGAGUACGGCCGUCAAGGUUAAAACUCAAAUGAAUUGACGGGGGCCCGCACAAGCGGUGGAGCAUGUGGUUUAAUUCGAUGCAACGCGAAGAACCUUACCUACUCUUGACAUCCAGAGAACUUAGCAGAGAUGCUUUGGUGCCUUCGGGAACUCUGAGACAGGUGCUGCAUGGCUGUCGUCAGCUCGUGUCGA